AGAAUCAACGCUGGCGGCGUGCCUAACACAUGCAAGUCGAACGAGAAAGUGGAGCAAUCCAUGAGUAAAGUGGCGCACGGGUGAGUAACACGUGACUAACCUACCUUUUAGUGGGGGGAUAACCUAGGGAAACCUGGGCUAAUACCGCAUAAUACUUACGAGUCAAAGCAGCAAUGCGCUGAAAGAGGGGGUCGCGGCCGAUUAGCUAGUUGGCGGGGUAAUGGCCCACCAAGGCAGUGAUCGGUAUCCGGCCUGAGAGGGCGCACGGACACACUGGAACUGAAACACGGUCCAGACUCCUACGGGAGGCAGCAGUGGGGAAUUUUGCGCAAUGGGGGAAACCCUGACGCAGCAACGCCGCGUGGAGGAUGAAGUCCCUUGGGACGUAAACUCCUUUCGAUCGGGACGAUAUGACGGUACCGGAAGAAGAGCCCGGCUAACUUCGCGCCAGCAGCCGC
RNAcentral lists this ribosomal RNA (458 nucleotides) under uncultured bacterium. RNAcentral's name for it is "SSU rRNA". It matches the Rfam family "Bacterial small subunit ribosomal RNA", at positions 26 to 518 of the family's 1533-position model. The record is from RNAcentral.